GAACGCUGGCGGCAUGCCUUACACAUGCAAGUCGAGCGGCAGCGCGGGGGCAACCCUGGCGGCGAGCGGCGAACGGGUGAGUAAUACAUCGGAACGUGUCCUCUUGUGGGGGAUAACCAGUCGAAAGACUGGCUAAUACCGCAUGAGAUCGCAAGAUGAAAGCAGGGGACCGCAAGGCCCUGCGCGAGAGGAGCGGCCGAUGUCGGAUUAGCUAGUUGGUGGGGUAACGGCCUACCAAGGCGACGAUCCGUAGCUGGUCUGAGAGGACGACCAGCCACACUGGGACUGAGACACGGCCCAGACUCCUACGGGAGGCAGCAGUGGGGAAUUUUGGACAAUGGGGGCAACCCUGAUCCAGCCAUGCCGCGUGUGUGAAGAAGGCCUUCGGGUUGUAAAGCACUUUCGGACGGAACGAAAUCGCGCGGGUUAAUAGUCCGUGUGGAUGACGGUACCGUAAGAAGAAGCACCGGCUAACUACGUGCCAGCAGCCGCGGUAAUACGUGGGGUGCGAGCGUUAAUCGGAAUUACUGGGCGUAAAGUGUGCGCAGGCGGCCGCGCAAGUCGAGUGUGAAAUCCCCGAGCUUAACUUGGGAAUUGCGCUCGAAACUACGUGGCUGAGUGUGGCAGAGGAAGGUGGAAUUCCACGUGUAGCGGUGAAAUGCGUAGAGAUGUGGAGGAACACCGAUGGCGAAGGCAGCCUUCUGGGCCAACACUGACGCUCAUGCACGAAAGCG
This 734-nucleotide ribosomal RNA is filed under the name uncultured soil bacterium. RNAcentral describes it as "bacterial SSU rRNA". It matches the Rfam family "Bacterial small subunit ribosomal RNA", at positions 31 to 761 of the family's 1533-position model. The record is from RNAcentral.